Molecule: ribosomal RNA, 1716 nt
Filed under: Triticum aestivum (bread wheat)
Lineage: Eukaryota; Viridiplantae; Streptophyta; Magnoliopsida; Poales; Poaceae
Description: partial small subunit ribosomal RNA
Source: RNAcentral
AUGACGGCUCCAUAUAUUGCCAAAAAAUAUCUUGAAGAUAUCAGAGAUAAUGAGACGAUUGAUGCACAAUCAUUGGGGGAAAAAGUGCAGAAGGACUUCAACUUGGCUGCUGGAAGAAUGAAACUACAAAGGGCAAAAAAGAAAGCAAUGACUGUUAUUAGAGGUGAUGAGGAGAAGCAAUACAAUUUGCUUUGGGAUUAUGCUCAGGAGAUAAGGAGAUCAAACCCAGGGAGCAGUGUCUUCCUAAACUUGGAUGUUCAUGGUUUGUUCCAGACUAUGUACUUCUCCCUUGAUGCUUGUAAGAGGGGGUUCUUAGAGGGCUGUAGGCCUCUACUUUUCUUUGAUGGUUGCCACUUGAAAACUAGGCAUGGUGGUGUGAUGUUGACAGCAAUAGGGAUUGACCCUAAUGAUUGUGUUUUUCCAAUUGCAAUGGCUGUGGUGGAUGGGGAGAACAAGAAUAGCUGGAAGUGGUUCAUGAACACUUUGAAGCGAGACUUGAACAUCAGCAACACUGCGGCAUAUACCAUCAUGUCAGAUAAGCAGAAAGGUUUGAUACUUGCAGUAGAACAAGAAUUUUCAGAUUGUCCACAUAGGUUUUGUGUAAGACAUCUGUACCAAAACUUCAACACGAUUCACAAGGGGGAAGUUCUCAAGGAUCAACUUUGGGCUUGCGCUAGAUCUAGCAACACAGAACAGUUGGAAAGAAACAUGGAGAAACUCAAGUUGUUGAGUCCAGAAGCACAUGCAUGGCUUGAUGGGCACCCACCAGACCAAUGGUGUAGAGCCUUCUUUGAUUGUUUCUGCAAGAGUGACACACUAAUGAAUAAUCAUUGUAAAGUGUUCAACAAAUACAUACUUGAUGCUAGAGAGCUUCCUAUCCUUAGUAUGUGGGAGAAGAUAAGGAUGCAGCUUAUGCACAAAAUGGUUGAGUAUGCAAGGAUUUGUGAGAAUAAAUGGACUAGCAACAUAUGCCCCAAAAUCAUGGACAAACUGCAGAAGAAUGUGAAGUAUGCAAACAAUUGUUUUCCUCACAGACCUGGGCAUGGAGUAUACGAAGUCAAGAGCAAAUCCUUCAGCUAUGAGGUCAACAUGCUGCAAAACAGUUGUGACUGCCGGAGAUGGCAACUAACAGGCAUUCCAUGUUCUCAUGCAGCUGCUUGCAUGAGAGAGGAGAGAAUAAAGCCCGAAACAUGGAUAGCAGCUUGUUAUACAAGGGACAAGUAUAUGAAAACUUAUGGACACACUAUCUGGCCAGUUAGGGACAAAAGUUUUUGGGAAAAGACAAAUGGAAGGGAAGUGGGAGCACCAUUGUAUAAGAAGAAAGCUGGAAGGAAAGCAAAUAAAAGGAGAGAGCACCCAUCAGAGAAAGAACAAGGUACAAGGCUCAACAAGCAUGGUGUGAAGAUGCACUGUAGCCAUUGCAGAGACCCUAACCACAAGAGGCCAGGUUGCCCUAUCCUACAUCCAGAACUGAAACUUCAACCACAAAGAAGAAACAAUGAAGAAGAUAUUGAUGAUUCUUCUAUUUUAGAGCAUAUUGUUCCUGAAGAGGGCAUUCCUGAGUUAAUUCCAACACAAUGCAGUGAAACUCUAGUUGACGAACUGCUAGUAGAAGAAAUCACUGAGUUGGAGAAUUUUCACAGUCGAAGGAAAGGUCCACUGCCUAGCAAUGCUUUCGUUGAAGAGCACAUAAAUAAUAUUCCUGCUUCAAGGGCA